RNAcentral lists this ribosomal RNA (904 nucleotides) under Cryobacterium roopkundense. RNAcentral's name for it is "bacterial SSU rRNA". It matches the Rfam family "Bacterial small subunit ribosomal RNA", at positions 93 to 996 of the family's 1533-position model. The record is from RNAcentral. Lineage: Bacteria; Bacillati; Actinomycetota; Actinomycetes; Micrococcales; Microbacteriaceae.
CAGUGGCGAACGGGUGAGUAACACGUGAGCAAUCUGCCCUUGACUCUGGGAUAACUGCGGGAAACUGUAGCUAAUACCGGAUACGACCUGAAGAGGCAUCUUUUUGGGUGGAAAGAAUUUUGGUCAAGGAUGAGCUCGCGGCCUAUCAGCUAGUUGGUGAGGUAAUGGCUCACCAAGGCGACGACGGGUAGCCGGCCUGAGAGGGUGACCGGCCACACUGGGACUGAGACACGGCCCAGACUCCUACGGGAGGCAGCAGUGGGGAAUAUUGCACAAUGGGCGCAAGCCUGAUGCAGCAACGCCGCGUGAGGGACGAAGGCCUUCGGGUUGUAAACCUCUUUUAGUAGGGAAGAAGCGACUGGGUUUUCCUGGGAGUGACGGUACCUGCAGAAAAAGCACCGGCUAACUACGUGCCAGCAGCCGCGGUAAUACGUAGGGUGCAAGCGUUGUCCGGAAUUAUUGGGCGUAAAGAGCUCGUAGGCGGUUUGUCGCGUCUGCUGUGAAAACCCGAGGCUCAACCUCGGGCCUGCAGUGGGUACGGGCAGACUAGAGUGCGGUAGGGGAGAUUGGAAUUCCUGGUGUAGCGGUGGAAUGCGCAGAUAUCAGGAGGAACACCAAUGGCGAAGGCAGAUCUCUGGGCCGUAACUGACGCUGAGGAGCGAAAGCAUGGGGAGCGAACAGGAUUAGAUACCCUGGUAGUCCAUGCCGUAAACGUUGGGAACUAGAUGUGGGGACCAUUCCACGGUCUCCGUGUCGCAGCUAACGCAUUAAGUUCCCCGCCUGGGGAGUACGGCCGCAAGGCUAAAACUCAAAGGAAUUGACGGGGGCCCGCACAAGCGGCGGAGCAUGCGGAUUAAUUCGAUGCAACGCGAAGAACCUUACCAAGGCUUGACAUAUACCGGAA